GUGUAAACAAUGAAUCAAUAUUAAUUUGUGAAGAUUUGUCGUAAUUAGACAGCUUGCACUAAGAAGAUUAUUAAGAAGAAAUGAUUUACGGAAGUAAAAUAAUCGGUCUGUUUGGCCGUCUAUCCAAUCGAUUAUUCUACAAAAUGCCGACAAAUCUAACUUUAAAGAGAAAUGUGGAAUCGCCCGUUAAUUUUAUGUUUUCUUCUUUAGCCAGUAAUACAAACAUUCUACCAAAGUUUAAACUUCCGGGUGUCAGAUACACUAAUAAUUUAAAUUUUAA
This 280-nucleotide unclassified non-coding RNA is filed under the name Centruroides sculpturatus (bark scorpion). Its description in RNAcentral is "uncharacterized LOC111619544, transcript variant X1". Lineage: Eukaryota; Metazoa; Arthropoda; Arachnida; Scorpiones; Buthidae. The record is from RNAcentral.